GGGCCCGCACAAGCGGUGGAGUAUGUGGUUUAAUUCGAUGCAACGCGAAGAACCUUACCAGGGUUUGACAUCCUGCGAAUCUCUUGGAAACAGGAGAGUGCCUUCGGGAACGCAGUGACAGGUGGUGCAUGGCUGUCGUCAGCUCGUGUCGUGAGAUGUUGGGUUAAGUCCCGCAACGAGCGCAACCCACGUCUUUAGUUGCCAGCAUUUAGUUGGGCACUCUAGAGAGACUGCCGGUGAUAAACCGGAGGAAGGUGUGGAUGACGUCAAGUCAUCAUGCCCCUUACAUCCUGGGCUACACACGUACUACAAUGCUACGGACAAAGGGCAGCAAGUUCGCGAGGACAAGCAAAUCCCAUAAACCGUGGCUCAGUUCGGAUUGGAGUCUGCAACUCGACUCCAUGAAGUCGGAAUC
Molecule: ribosomal RNA, 415 nt
Filed under: uncultured bacterium
Lineage: Bacteria
Description: bacterial SSU rRNA
Rfam family: Bacterial small subunit ribosomal RNA
Source: RNAcentral